CGCUCCCUGAAAAUAAAAUUAAUAUAUAGGGGGUUCUGCCUGCCCAGUGACAAUAGUUAAACGGCCGCGGUAUUUUGACCGUGCAAAGGUAGCAUAAUCAUUUGCCUUUUAAAUGGAGGCUGGUAUGAAUGGCAAGACGGGAAUUUAGCUGUCUCUCUUUUAGUAUCUUGAAUUUAAUAUCUUUGUGAAGAAGCGAAGAUUAGUUCGUAGGACGAGAAGACCCUAUUGAGCUUAAGUUAAAAAUUAUUAACACAGAGGUUUUAUUUUUAGGCUAAUUAAAAAUAAAAGUAAUUUUAUCUUAAAAUAGAAGGGUGUUGUUUAAUUGGUACUUUGGUUGGGGCAAUCGCGGAGAAAAUUAAUCCUCCGAUAUAAAUUUGAAGCAAAAAAUUACUAUUUUAAAGUAAUAAUUAAAUUAUAAAAAAUGAUCCACUUGUUUAAAGUGAUCAAAGGAAAAAGUUACCAUAGGGAUAACAGCGUAAUUUUUUUGGAGAGUUCAUAUUGAUAAAAAAGUUUGCGACCUCGAUGUUGGAUCGGGACUUCCAGGAGAUGCAGCAGUUUCUAAGGGUUGGUCUGUUCGACCAUUAAAGUCCU
Molecule: ribosomal RNA, 591 nt
Filed under: Persephonaster patagiatus
Lineage: Eukaryota; Metazoa; Echinodermata; Asteroidea; Paxillosida; Astropectinidae
Description: partial 16S ribosomal RNA
Rfam family: Bacterial large subunit ribosomal RNA
Source: RNAcentral